CUGCUGCCUUCCGUAGGAGUCUGGGCCGUGUCUCAGUCCCAGUGUGGCCGUCCACCCUCUCAGGCCGGCUGCUGAUCGCCGCUUUGGUGGGCCGUUACCCCGCCAACUGGCUAAUCAGACGCGGGCCCAUCCUGUACCACCGGAGUUUUCAAAGGAUUACCAUGCGGUAUUCCCUAUUAUGCGGUAUUAGCACCUAUUUCUAAGUGUUAUCCCCCGGUACAGGGCAGGUUGCCCACGCGUUACUCACCCGUCCGCCACUAAGAUA
This 265-nucleotide ribosomal RNA is filed under the name uncultured bacterium. RNAcentral describes it as "partial 16S ribosomal RNA". The record is from RNAcentral.